Molecule: transfer RNA, 73 nt
Filed under: Ovis aries (sheep)
Lineage: Eukaryota; Metazoa; Chordata; Mammalia; Artiodactyla; Bovidae
Rfam family: tRNA
About the family: Transfer RNA (tRNA) molecules are approximately 80 nucleotides in length. Their secondary structure includes four short double-helical elements and three loops (D, anti-codon, and T loops).
Source: Rfam by way of RNAcentral
UCCCUGGUGGCUCAAAUAGUAAAAGCGUCUGCCUGCAAUGCGGGAGACCCGGGUUCGAUCCCCGGAUCGGGAC